This 151-nucleotide transfer RNA is filed under the name Erythrostemon exostemma subsp. exostemma. RNAcentral's name for it is "partial tRNA-Leu". Lineage: Eukaryota; Viridiplantae; Streptophyta; Magnoliopsida; Fabales; Fabaceae. The record is from RNAcentral.
CGAAAUCGGUAGACGCUACGGACUUAAUUGGAUUGAGCCUUGGUAUGGAAACCUACUAAGUGAGAACUUUCAAAUUCAGAGAAACCCUGGAAUUAACAAUGGAAGAACUGAUUAAUCGGACGAGAAUAAAGAUAGAGUCCCAUUCUACAUG